CGGCGUGGAUUAGGCAUGCAAGUCGAACGAGAAAGCGACCUUCGGGUUGCGAGUACAGUGGCGAACUGGUUAGUAACAGGUGGAUAACGUACCCUCCGGCGGGGGACAACCCUKGGAAACAGGGGCUAAUACCGCAUGUGACCACAACCCUCGUUUGGUGGUUGUGGGGAAAGAUGCGCUUCGCGCGUGUCACCCGGAGGGAUCGGUCCCGCCCCUGAUUAGCUUGUUGGCGGGGGUAAUGGCCCACCAAGGGCUACGAUCAGUAGCUGGUCUGAGAGGAUGGUCAGCAACACUGGGACUGAGAUACGGCCCAGACUCCUACGGGGAGGCAGCAGUCUAGAAGCUUUCCACAAUGGACGAAAGUCUGAUGGAGCGACGCCGCGUGCGGGAUGAAGGCCGUGAGGUCGUAAACCGCUGUCAGCAGGGAAGAAUGCCCCGAUGGCGAAUCGGGGAGUGACGGUACCUGCAGAGGAAGCCCCGGCUAACUCCGUGCCAGCAGCCGCGGUAAGACGGAGGGGGCAAACGUUGCUCGGAAUUACUGGGCGUAAAGAGUACGUAGGCGGUUUGAUAAGUCGAAUGUGAAAUCCCCUGGCUCAACCAGGGAACUGCAUUCGAAACUGUCGAACUCGAGAAUGGGAGAGGCAAGUGGAAUUCCUGGUGUAGCGGUGGAAUGUGUAGAUAUCAGGAAGAACACUCGUGGCGAAGGCGGCUUGCUGGCCCAUUUCUGACGCUGAGGUACGAAAGCCA
This 747-nucleotide ribosomal RNA is filed under the name uncultured organism. RNAcentral describes it as "bacterial SSU rRNA". It matches the Rfam family "Bacterial small subunit ribosomal RNA", at positions 40 to 762 of the family's 1533-position model. The record is from RNAcentral.